UAAAUAGCAGGUUACAGCUCCCGCUCGGCGCGCACACGCUCACACGCGAACGCAGGAAAGUCAGGCUAAAAGUGUCUGCUGCUGCCGCUGUCGCCCCCCGCUCCGCCUCCGGGAGAGAACUCAAAGAAAUGGUGUUACCUGGCAAUAGAUCUGCUGUCUUUUAUGAAAAAUCAGGCCAAGGAAUCAAGAUCCUCCACUGAGUGAGACGGUAUAUGUUAGGAGGGUGCUUGAGGAUAACAUUGAAGUUUUGGAGUUGUCAUUUCGUAGAAG
Molecule: non-coding RNA, 270 nt
Organism: Ceratotherium simum simum (southern white rhinoceros)
Lineage: Eukaryota; Metazoa; Chordata; Mammalia; Perissodactyla; Rhinocerotidae
Source: RefSeq, a predicted model, not a curated record